RNAcentral lists this ribosomal RNA (497 nucleotides) under uncultured bacterium. RNAcentral's name for it is "partial 16S ribosomal RNA". It matches the Rfam family "Bacterial small subunit ribosomal RNA", at positions 28 to 507 of the family's 1533-position model. The record is from RNAcentral.
GACGAACGCUGGCGGCGUGCCUAAUACAUGCAAGUUGAGCGCUGAAGGUUGGUACUUGUACCAACUGGAUGAGCAGCGAACGGGUGAGUAACGCGUGGGGAAUCUGCCUUUGAGCGGGGGACAACAUUUGGAAACGAAUGCUAAUACCGCAUAAAAACUUUAAACACAAGUUUUAAGUUUGAAAGAUGCAAUUGCAUCACUCAAAGAUGAUCCCGCGUUGUAUUAGCUAGUUGGUGAGGUAAAGGCUCACCAAGGCGAUGAUACAUAGCCGACCUGAGAGGGUGAUCGGCCACCUUGGGACUGAGACACGGCCCAAACGCCUACGGGAGGCAGCCGUAGGGCAUCUUCGGCAAUGGACGCAAGUCUGACCGAGCAACGCCGCGUGAGUGAAGAAGGUUUUCGGAUCGUAAAACUCUGUUGGUAGAGAAGAACGUUGGUGAGAGUGGAAAGCUCAUCAAGUGACGGUAACUACCCAGAAAGGGACGGCUAACUACGUG